This is a long non-coding RNA of Alligator sinensis (Chinese alligator), 594 nucleotides long. RefSeq lists it as uncharacterized. The record is from RefSeq and is a predicted model, not a curated record. NCBI's taxonomy places the organism in Eukaryota, Metazoa, Chordata, Crocodylia, Alligatoridae. The transcript has 4 exons.
AGGAACAUUGUCUGGUCGGAGGGCUGCUGAGAAUAGCCCGGAGCUUGACCCUCACCCACAUGUGCAUGCCAGGGCCCCAUGAGCACCACUACAGAUCAUGGAAGACCCCAUCCCAUCCUCCUCUGGUAACCAACCCGUCACACAACUGGAGCCAUGAUGAUAUGUGGAAUCUCAUGACCAUCUGGGGUGAGCAGGAGACCCAAGACCAGCUCCACAAAGAGCACUACACCAGGUUUUUGACCGCUAGGCUAUUACUUAGAAGUGGGGCGCUGCUGCUUCUGCCACUGCCUCUGCUGCCACCACCACUGCUGCCACCUCUAGAACCACCAUUGUGAAACAAAGUGGUAUCUACAACUGCAUUUUUUGAGAAGCCCCAUCUGUAUAUGGUACUUUCCAUGUGUGCUGCCCAGCAGGCUAUUUCAGCUGAAGGAUUGAUAUGAAUGUAGGGCUAUUUAAUUUGAAGGUCCAUAUAAGAAGUUUGCCAUCCAUGCAGUUUUGUUACUAUCUGGAAGGAAAGUUUUGACAUAUGAAAUUGUCCACCCACCAUUGAAAAAUUCAGACAUGCCUUAUAAUUAUAUGGAGAAACCUUAUGGA